This 164-nucleotide ribosomal RNA is filed under the name uncultured bacterium. Its description in RNAcentral is "partial 16S rRNA". It matches the Rfam family "Bacterial small subunit ribosomal RNA", at positions 355 to 511 of the family's 1533-position model. The record is from RNAcentral.
UAGGGAAUCUUCCACAAUGGACGCAAGUCUGAUGGAGCAACGCCGCGUGAGUGAAGAAGGGUUUCGGCUCGUAAAGCUCUGUUGUUAAAGAAGAAUGUGGGUAAGAGUAACUGUUUACCCAGUGACGGUAUUUAACCAGAAAGCCACGGCUAACUACGUGCUAG